Molecule: transfer RNA, 69 nt
Filed under: Megalophasma granulatum
Lineage: Eukaryota; Metazoa; Arthropoda; Insecta; Phasmatodea; Lonchodidae
Description: tRNA-Gln
Source: RNAcentral
UACACCUUAUUGUAUGAUGCAUAAGAAUUUUUGAUAUUCUUGGUAACAGUUUAAUUCUGUUAAGUGUAA